Oreochromis niloticus (Nile tilapia) is the source of this 368-nucleotide long non-coding RNA. RefSeq lists it as uncharacterized. The transcript has 3 exons. NCBI's taxonomy places the organism in Eukaryota, Metazoa, Chordata, Actinopteri, Cichliformes, Cichlidae. The record is from RefSeq and is a predicted model, not a curated record.
ACCAUUGCCAGAAGGUUGUGUUGUGACUUCCAGCGAUCCCAAGACCAUGGAGGAGAUUCCACAAGACACUUACUCUAGAUCCUUAACCCAUCAGCAGUCUUUGGUGCAAGGAGGAACAAACAGCUGGAAUGGCUCUCCAGGAGCUCAGUGGUCCCCUGGUCCAGAUCUGGGAGGAGAUCUCCCAGGACACCAUCCGUUUUCUCAUUAGGAGCAUGUCCCGGCGCCACCAGCUGAAUCAAGGCAAAGGUCUAAUGCUGCCAGAGCCUGACAUGCUUCAGAGGUAUCUGCAGCAGAAGAGUGCAGAGAUCAAUGUCCUGCUCCAGAACAUCCAGUCCCUCAUCACCUAUCAAAAGCCUGUCAGUCCACGG